UGGGGAAUAUUGGACAAUGGGCGAAAGCCUGAUCCAGCCAUGCCGCGUGUGUGAAGAAGGUCUUCGGAUUGUAAAGCACUUUAAGUUGGGAGGAAGGGCAUUAACCUAAUACGUUAGUGUUUUGACGUUACCGACAGAAUAAGAACCGGCUAACUCUGUGCCAGCAGCCGCGGUAAUACAGAGGGAGCAAGCGUUAAUCGGAAUUACUGGGCGUAAAGCGCGCGUAGGUGGUUUGUUAAGUUGGAUGUGAAAUCCCCGGGCUCAACCUGGGAACUGCAUUCAAAACUGACUGACUAGAGUAUGGUAGAGGGUGGUGGAAUUUCCUGUGUAGCGGUGAAAUGCGUAGAUAUAGGAAGGAACACCAGUGGCGAAGGCGACCACCUGGACUAAUACUGACACUGAGGUGCGAAAGCGUGGGGAGCAAACA
RNAcentral lists this ribosomal RNA (427 nucleotides) under uncultured bacterium. RNAcentral's name for it is "partial 16S ribosomal RNA". It matches the Rfam family "Bacterial small subunit ribosomal RNA", at positions 355 to 774 of the family's 1533-position model. The record is from RNAcentral.